Molecule: ribosomal RNA, 501 nt
Filed under: uncultured bacterium
Lineage: Bacteria
Description: bacterial SSU rRNA
Rfam family: Bacterial small subunit ribosomal RNA
Source: RNAcentral
AGAGUUUGAUCCUGGCUCAGAUUGAACGCUGGCGGCAGGCCUAACACAUGCAAGUCGAGCGGUAGCACAGAGAGCUUGCUCUCGGGUGACGAGCGGCGGACGGGUGAGUAAUGUCUGGGAAACUGCCUGAUGGAGGGGGAUAACUACUGGAAACGGUAGCUAAUACCGCAUAACGUCGCAAGACCAAAGAGGGGGACCUUCGGGCCUCUUGCCAUCAGAUGUGCCCAGAUGGGAUUAGCUAGUAGGUGGGGUAAUGGCUCACCUAGGCGACGAUCCCUAGCUGGUCUGAGAGGAUGACCAGCCACACUGGAACUGAGACACGGUCCAGACUCCUACGGGAGGCAGCAGUGGGGAAUAUUGCACAAUGGGCGCAAGCCUGAUGCAGCCAUGCCGCGUGUAUGAAGAAGGCCUUCGGGUUGUAAAGUACUUUCAGCGAGGAGGAAGGCAUUGUGGUUAAUAACCACAGUGAUUGACGUUACUCGCAGAAGAAGCACCGGCUAA